GACGAACGCUGGCGGCGUGCUUAACACAUGCAAGUCGUACGGUAAGGCCCUUUCGGGGGUACACGAGUGGCGAACGGGUGAGUAACACGUGCGUAACCUGCCCACAACUUUGGGAUAACGCUAGGAAACUGGUGCUAAUACUGGAUAUGUGCUCCUGCUGCAUGGUGGGGGUUGGAAAGCUCCGGCGGUUGUGGAUGGACUCGCGGCCUAUCAGCUUGUUGGUGGGGUAGUGGCCUACCAAGGCGGCGACGGGUAGCCGGCCUGAGAGGGUGACCGGCCACAUUGGGACUGGGAUACGGCCCAGACUCCUACGGGAGGCAGCAGUGGGGAAUAUUGCACAAUGGGCGCAAGCCUGAUGCAGCAACGCCGCGGGCGGGAUGACGGGCUUCGGGUUGUAAACCGCUUUCAGCAGGGACGAAGCUUUUUGUGACGGUACCUGCAGAAGAAGCACCGGCUAACUACGUG
Molecule: ribosomal RNA, 465 nt
Filed under: uncultured bacterium
Lineage: Bacteria
Description: partial 16S ribosomal RNA
Rfam family: Bacterial small subunit ribosomal RNA
Source: RNAcentral